RNAcentral lists this long non-coding RNA (357 nucleotides) under Chinchilla lanigera (long-tailed chinchilla). Its description in RNAcentral is "lncRNA (ENSCLAG00000023248.1)". The record is from RNAcentral. Lineage: Eukaryota; Metazoa; Chordata; Mammalia; Rodentia; Chinchillidae.
UGAGGAAAUCACAUACUGAAAGUGGAAGGACAAUGCCCCUGAAGGUGUUGUUCCUGAAGGUGGCAGAGGCAGGAACCGAAGCCCAGCUGUAUGUUCAGGGACGCAGCAGCUUCAGGCCCCAGCAAACACCCCCAACAAAGCUCACCCAGGAGAAGCAGAUGUGGAACAGGCAUUGGGCAGCACGGGUUUGAAAAGGAAUAGCCACCCAUGAUGAAAACUGUAUUCAGAGUAGUGCUUGUGGAGUUAUAUAUGUGUAAACCAACAGGUUUGAACAACAAAAUAACAAAAUACAGGCUGUUUUUGGCUCCAAGUCAACUUAUUGAAUUUUUUUUUACAAUUAAAAAAUUUUAAACAUCC